Molecule: non-coding RNA, 777 nt
Filed under: Tomicus piniperda (common pine shoot beetle)
Lineage: Eukaryota; Metazoa; Arthropoda; Insecta; Coleoptera; Curculionidae
Source: RNAcentral
CCAAAGUUAGAUGACUUGUAACUUUUAUAGAACAUUAUUUUAAAUGCAAAUUUUAGUUUUAAUUAUAUAAUUUUUAAAUAAUUCAAUAAUUAAUAAAUUUGCAGUAAUUAAUUUUAUUUAUUUAAGGAAUUAAGAAAUAGUAAUUGUUUUUAAUAUAAACUAAAUUUGUGCCAGCAGUUGCGGUUAUACAAAUUAUAUAAUAAAAUUACUUCAGUAGUAGUUAAUUAAAUAUUGAUUGAGUUAGAAUUAAUAAAUGAAUUUGUUAGGUGAAAUUUUAAAUUUAUAUAAUUUUAUACUAUUUGAUGAGGCUAGUAAAUUUUAUUUAAAACUAGGAUUAGAUACCCUAUUAUAAAAAUGUAAAAAUUAUUACUAAAUUAGUAUUAGUAUUCUUGAAAAUUAAAUCUUUUGGCGGUAUUUUAGUCUAUUCAGAGGAAUCUGUCCUAUAAUUGAUAUUCCACGAUUUUAAUUACUUAUUUUUUAAGUUUGUAUAUCGCCGUAGUUUUAAAUAUUUUAAAUGAAUUAUUAAUAUUUAUAAAUUUUACUUAAAAAUAAAUCAGGUCAAGAUAUAGUUUAUAAAUAAGAAGAGAUGGAUUACAUUAUUAUUAUAUUUGGAGUUUUUAUUGUAUAAUUUAAAUGAAACUGGAUUUGAAUGUAAUUUUUUAUAAAUUUAAAGAAUGAUUAAAGCUCUAAAAUAUGUACAUAUCGCCCGUCGCUUUCACUUUAAAGUGAAAUAAGUCGUAACAGAGUAGAGGUACUGGAAAGUGUCUCUAGAAAAUC